This 433-nucleotide ribosomal RNA is filed under the name uncultured bacterium. RNAcentral describes it as "partial 16S ribosomal RNA". It matches the Rfam family "Bacterial small subunit ribosomal RNA", at positions 29 to 507 of the family's 1533-position model. The record is from RNAcentral.
AACGAACGCUGGCGGCAUGCCUAACACAUGCAAGUCGAACGAGACCUUCGGGUCUAGUGGCGCACGGGUGCGUAACGCGUGGGAACCUGCCCUUAGGUUCGGAAUAACUCCCCGAAAGGGGUGCUAAUACCGGAUAAUGUCUUCGGACCAAAGAUUUAUCGCCUUUGGAUGGGCCCGCGUUGGAUUAGCUAGUUGGUAGGGUAAAAGCCUACCAAGGCGACGAUCCAUAGCUGGUCUGAGAGGAUGAUCAGCCACACUGGGACUGAGACACGGCCCAGACUUCCUCGGGAAGGAGGAGGUGGGGAAAUUUGAACAUUGGGCGAAGGCCGAACCAGCAAUGCCGCGUGAGUGAUGAAGGCCUUAGGGUUGUAAAGCUCUUUUACCCGGGAUGAUAAUGACAGUACCGGGAGAAUAAGCUCCGGCUAACUCCGUG